RNAcentral lists this ribosomal RNA (253 nucleotides) under uncultured bacterium. Its description in RNAcentral is "partial 16S ribosomal RNA". It matches the Rfam family "Bacterial small subunit ribosomal RNA", at positions 524 to 776 of the family's 1533-position model. The record is from RNAcentral.
UACGAAGGGAGCUAGCGUUGUUCGGAAUUACUGGGCGUAAAGGGCGCGUAGGCGGUUUACCAAGUUGGAUGUGAAAGCCCUGGGCUUAACCCGGGAAUUGCAUUCAAGACUGGUAGACUCGAAUUCGGUAGAGGUUGGUGGAAUUCCCAGUGUAGAGGUGAAAUUCGUAGAGAUUGGGAAGAACACCCGUGGCGAAGGCGGCCAACUGGACCGACAUUGACGCUGAGGCGCGAAAGCGUGGGUAGCAAACAGG